Molecule: non-coding RNA, 225 nt
Filed under: Desulforamulus ruminis
Lineage: Bacteria; Bacillati; Bacillota; Clostridia; Eubacteriales; Peptococcaceae
Description: Desulfotomaculum ruminis T-box sequence
Rfam family: T-box leader
About the family: Uncharged tRNA acts as the effector for transcription antitermination of genes in the T-box leader family.
Source: RNAcentral
UAUAAUUCUAUGACGGGGAAGAAAACGGAUAGCGCUGUUUAGAGAGCCGGGAUCAGGUGCAAGCCCAGCCAGCGGAAGCCGUUCGAGCCGCCCCCGAGAUGCAGGCUGAACAACAGUAAGCCUUGCCGGUUCUUCACCGUUACCGAAGUCCGAGUGGGUCUCCUGGCAUUUAUGCGCGAGGCCAAUGAGGGUGGUACCACGGGUUAUUUUAACCCCGUCCCUUUU